UUUAAUUACUGCGUUGCUAAGGGAAUUCAAAUGAGAAUUUUUGGUUGGCUUCCUUUGUUGACGCAGCCCAGUGACUUCGGCCUCUGCCAUUAGUCAUGCAUACUCCUUUUCUUUUUCGCCCUCUUGCACACGCACCAACUCUGACCAGCGUGCCGAAAGAUUUUAAUUCGACCCUUUCCCAACACAAUUCAAUUUUUUUAACGCUCCAAAAAAAAUUUAUUCCUGACGAGCUUCCCAGAAAUUAAUAACAAUCAAGAGCAGGUAAGACCGAAAUCCGGCAAACAGAAAAAUUUGAUGCAGCUGAGAGCGAUAAACUUUCUCUGCGUUUCCAAGUGGCGCGCGCCGCUCGAUGUAUUGAAUGUUGGCUUUUAAUGUGGCGCGGCAGGUCCGGCUGAGAAGUCGUGUGGAAUGCCUGCUGGGCUACGAAAUAAAGGGGCCCCUACCCUGGCCAAUCAAGGCUAUCCCACGGAUUCACACAGUCCAAAUCACGAGCGAGAGCGCAUUGUCUCGCGAGAAGGGUCAUGCCCGAGUGACCAGCAAGGUCAACAGCCCCCUCUCCUCCGUCGCCGCUACGGCAACCCACCCACGACUUGCCUCUCAAAAGAGCACUCGGCUUGCAAUUAAAAGAUUUCAAACUUAUUCUUCUUCUUUAAUUUAAAUUUUCCAAAAAAGUUGAAACACCUUUGCCUCUCACGGGUAUUAUUGCAGUGUGCAUAAAAUUAAAUUUGAGAGCAAAGAGCGGGCGAGAGUCGCAGGAUUAGGUGGAAAAUAAUGCCCUGCGCUUGCUCGCUCCCGUCCACAACGAGCAAGAAAAACCACAGCCGGCCGGGCAUGAAUAUGCAGCACGGUUGUGAGUCUGGCUGGGGCACUACUUAUCCUCUCGUUUCGGCCGCACUGGAAUCAGAUAAAGGGCCUCGUUAAAAUUUCACCGCUCCACGCGAAUUACCAAAGACGAAUUUCAAUUCCAUCACCGGCGACAACACAAACAAACAGACUUGGUUUUUUUUCGCUCACUCUUGCACCUUUAAUCCGAGCCUGGCUAGGAGGUCGCUCGUGAGACUUGAGAUGAAAAAUAAGAACUCGCUUGCCCGUCCAGCAGCGUGGAAUAUUUCAAGCUCCCUGGUUCUUUACGAGAGAGCAGUAAUGAUGAGAGACCAGACCAACUCCGCUUUAAUAAGGAUGCUGGCAGGAGAAAAUGCUUCUUGAGGGUCCAUCAAGCCACCGUUUGCCUCGUGUCCUUCAAAUACACGCCCUUUAACUUUUUUUCCGAGCAAAAGCUGCAUUUUUACUUAGCUUUUUAAUGAUGAGAAUGGAAUUCCAGUUGUUCGAGCGCUUUCAGAUUUAA
Molecule: long non-coding RNA, 1345 nt
Organism: Neocloeon triangulifer
Lineage: Eukaryota; Metazoa; Arthropoda; Insecta; Ephemeroptera; Baetidae
Exons: 3
Source: RefSeq, a predicted model, not a curated record